UCUACUGUAGCUCAGUGGUAGAGCGUCCAAACGCUGUGCGGAAGGUCAUAGGUACUGGUUCGACUCCUGUUGGGAGAA
Molecule: non-coding RNA, 78 nt
Organism: Desmophyllum pertusum
Lineage: Eukaryota; Metazoa; Cnidaria; Anthozoa; Scleractinia; Caryophylliidae
Source: the annotation of a GenBank genome assembly